AGCGGGGUUGAGCAGCCAGGAGUGCUCGUCGGACGUAUAGAGGUGUUAAACAUGCUCGUGCGGGCGAAGCUCAUAUGAGGGUUUAAGCGCUUCUGAGAGACCCGAAGGUCCGAGGUUCAAAUCCUCGCCCCGCUA
Molecule: transfer RNA, 135 nt
Filed under: Candidatus Altarchaeales archaeon
Lineage: Archaea; Nanobdellati; Candidatus Altarchaeota; Candidatus Altarchaeia; Candidatus Altarchaeales
Also listed under: 1 other name
Description: tRNA-OTHER
Source: RNAcentral